ACGCGACCAAGAAAAAUGAUGGGUAUCGUCUAUUCACUAUAUUCCGUUUGGCAAUCGUUGAGCUCUUCUUCUUCUCGGUUAGGAGCAAUAAUUAGCUGCAUUGAUAGGUUCCCUUCCCAUUCAUAGCUCUCAUCAUAAUGGUGAAAACUCCCACAAGGUUCUUUAAUGCUUUUAAUGCAGGGGUAAUUGUUGAACUUUAUGCUUUUCGUUUCAUUAAAAAAAGUGUGCUUUUCCUGUUGAUUUUGGAGAUUUAGAUUUUGUUUUCUUGAAGUGAAUUGAUUGAACUUAUGUCUUCUAUUGGUUGAUUUAGGCAACUUUAAAUCUACAUUGUACAGUCUCUGUCUUCUGUCUCUAUACUGACCUGCGAACUUGUUGGAUGGUUCAAUUUGAAUCACUGUUUAGGGACUUUAAAAGAAAACGAAAUAAAGUUUGAGAUAUCUUUGGUGCAUGCUUGAAGAAAAUGUAGGACUUCAUCAAGUUUCAUUUAGUAGGUGCUAAAUCACAGAAAAUAAGGUAUUAACUGUUUGAGACAAUAUUACCUUCAAAUUUUAGAUAAAGCUUCUUCACUAUAAAUUAUGCAUUUCUCCACUUCCUUGUCGUUUAACUUCAAACUCAGUAUUCAAUAUUAAGUUGACAAGAAAUAUUGAUGAAUUAGUUCAAAAUCAGUGAUCUUAUGACAGUUUACCUGGUUCUCACCUCAGAUAUUUGAGCCAUUACACUAGAUGCUUUGUAGGAAUUUAUGUUAGUAUGAAAUAAAGUAUAGCACCCUAUAGAACAACAAAUAUUUGUACCUCAGAGAUGGACAUCUAGUGGCAUGUCUCUUCAUCCUGGAUUGCUCAAUGAGGAGUAUUGUAAAUCUGACUCCUCUCAGUUCAUCUCACCCAACAACUAGAAGUCUAAGACAACAAAAGUUCUUUAUUUAUGAGAGAGUUUCCAACUUGGGGACUUGAUUAUGUAACUCUAAUGCGCUUGAACAUUUAUGGAAUAGGACCUCUCAGCCAAUGGUUGUGUUCACCACUAUUUGUCUUUUACUAGCACAGCAAGCACAGGGAUGAGAAAUCCAUCCUUGACCUCUUCCCUGAACUUGUGCAGUGCAACUUUGCUUCUGGAUGUGGAAUUGUGGAUUCUUGAACCAACCAUCAGAUUAUUAAAGGAUCAAAUGGUGAUGGGGAGGGAGUAGUGUGACCACUGGCUCUCUGUAGCAGCCCAUUUAGCAGGCCCCAGAUGGGGUCCAUUGGCAUCAUGGUGUUGUGCUUGGCUUGAGACUAUAGGACUCAUUGCUGGUAUUGGUACUCAGGCAUAUGCAGGUUCACAAACACUGCAGAGUAUAAUCUUACUAUCCACAGGCACAAAUAAAGAUGGUGGAUAUUUUGCUCCUAAAUGGCUCUUCUUGUGCAUGUACAUGUAUGGGCAGUUCUCAACACAUUCGCCUUAGAAGUUAUUGCUUUCAUUGAUGUAAUCUCUAUAUGGUGGCAGCCUGAUCCUACGAGGAAAUGAAGCAAUAUACAUAUCUACCUAACAAGUCGAAAUGCAGACAUGGUCAUUAGAGAUGAUCCCAGAACAAGGAAUGCAUCACAUCCUUUUGCAGCCUCCAUUGCCUUGUCUGCUCUAUCCUUUGGAACAUUAUCACCACAGAAAACAACCUUCAACGGUUGAAAAAAUCAGUUAAAUGUUUCAAAUAUUUGUCACAUGUAUAAUUCACAAGUAAAAGAAGAGAGAUCAUAAAAACACACAUGGAACAUGAAUGGAAGCAUAUUGUUUGUCUGCAAGUACAAAGCUAAACUUAUAUCAACGAAUAAAAUAUUAGAACCUUUAUUACAAACUUGUUCAUAUGAGUGACUAAUUCCAUCACUUGUUAAUCAAAUAAUUUAAAAUGAAUCCAUGUAAGCUACCAUAAGCAGCCCACAAUAACAUUUCUCCAUUUACAGCCAUAAGGUUUAGAUGAUAAUAAUAACAAUAACAAUAACCCCUAUAUAUAUAUAUAUAUUCACAAACU
Molecule: RNA transcript, 1996 nt
Organism: Manihot esculenta (cassava)
Lineage: Eukaryota; Viridiplantae; Streptophyta; Magnoliopsida; Malpighiales; Euphorbiaceae
Gene name: psbP domain-containing protein 2, chloroplastic
Exons: 4
Source: RefSeq, a predicted model, not a curated record